Molecule: RNase P RNA, 345 nt
Filed under: human gut metagenome
Description: Bacterial RNase P class A
Rfam family: Bacterial RNase P class A
About the family: Ribonuclease P (RNase P) is a ubiquitous endoribonuclease, found in archaea, bacteria and eukarya as well as chloroplasts and mitochondria. Its best characterised activity is the generation of mature 5'-ends of tRNAs by cleaving the 5'-leader elements of precursor-tRNAs.
Source: RNAcentral
AGCAGGCUGAACAGUCGCCGUGGCGCUUUGGGCGCCGCGGAGGAAAGUCCGAGCAUUCCGGGCCGGGAUAGUGGGUAACGCCCACCGGGGGCGACCCUAGGGAAAGUGCAACAGAAAUAAACCGCCGGCGCCCGUAAGGGCCCGGUAAGGAUGGAAAGGCGAGGUAAGAGCUCACCACCCCCUGUGGUGACACAGGGGGUCUGUAAACCCUAUCCGAUGCAACACCGAUAAAGGCAAGGGCGGCCCGCCCGUUUGAGCCUUGAAAGCGUGGCUUGAGGCCUCUGGCAACAGAGGAUCCAGAUAGAUGACUGUUCUCGACAGAACUCGGCUUACAGGCCUGCUCAU